Molecule: long non-coding RNA, 3973 nt
Organism: Athalia rosae (coleseed sawfly)
Lineage: Eukaryota; Metazoa; Arthropoda; Insecta; Hymenoptera; Athaliidae
Exons: 2
Source: RefSeq, a predicted model, not a curated record
CUUAUACGUACAUAUUCACGAUUUAGCAAAAUUUCAAGGAAUCCGGCGGCGCUGCUACGUCUACGUGUUCGUUCCACUCGCGAAUAAUCGAAUUUCGUUGUUAUUUCUUUCGUUUCACGUUGUUUUACUUAGUUUUUGAAUUUUCACUCGAAAUAAUGGCACAUUUUCAUGGCUAAAUUUUUUCAAGUCUAUAAAUUACACGCUAUAACCGACUUAGACUCAUUUCCAAGCGUACGAUAUAUUAUUAUACAUUAUUAUCAGCCAACAUUUGCGCGUAUACGCUAUACACGUAUGUUAUGUGCAUACAAUACAAGAUAUCUUGGUAGCAGCUAGCACGGGCAUUAUAACUGUACGAUAUCCACCUACACACGAGUUACCUAUAACAGUCUUCACCUUUCCUUUCACUCCGCGAUCCUCUCGCCUCGGUUUUCCUCUAUUUAGUUACCGUCACCUUGUAGCUCGUUCACGCUAUUAACUCGUAGGUAAAGACUUAGGUAUACGUAUAGGUAUAAUUACACCGGUAUUUUACAUUGUGUAUAUAUUUUAAUCAUACGUACGUACGUAACCAACGGUUUAAUAUUCCCAACGUGGUCCCAUCAACUUCGUUAAGACCGGGGCGCGACCGUGGAAUGAACGCGGUGCCAGGAAGAGAAAAAAAAAGAAAAAAAAACUCGCGACUAUCGUGCAGCACCGGAAAUUUAGUUUUUCUGUUUCGUUUUUUCUUCAUUAAUCGUACGUAGCGUAGAGACGGACGUAAUUUUUGAAUGAGGUGAUUGGUACGAAUGAGUUUUGUUCCUCUGUGAAAAAUGACGAAUUUGUCAUCUUUUUUCUUCUUCAACGCGAAUGACGGGUUAAUGAAGAGAUUUUGAAGUGUGUUUUGAAAUCGCGUUCGAGCACGCGAUGCGGUUGAAAUUUCAAAGUAUUAUUGUAAUUAGGAUGGUGAUAAUGGACUUACCGCAUGGGCGGCUUCCCGCCAAUCUGACGUAGCCUCCUCACACCUCCCAGUCAGCUACGCAUCCUUUUCCCUCUUCUUCUCAAUACUCGGGGGUCACUUCUCAGCUCACGGUACACCGUUUUUCUGUCCAGAUGCUGAUGUGACACCUCACAAACGACGGCCAUGACACUUUCAAUUAAAAGUUAUUAACUUAAAUACACCGUUCCGCUUAAGACACGAUGGAUACGAAGGAAAAUGUACAAUAAAAAACACAAUUCGCGUGUAUAUGUCUACUACCUUUGCGGAUUUUUUAAAAAUAAAAUCAAUAGCAACAAUAAUAUCGACUAUAAAUAUAAUUCACAAUGUGAUGUAACAAGUGUCGUUAUAAAAUUUUUGCGAUCUUCUAGUCUCUUUUUUAUCUCUGCACCGCAUUUUUCCGCACCAACUAUCACGUUUGUCUUCUCUGUUCCUCACGCACUCUCGUUUCUUUUUUCUUCGUACGCCGCACUGGUUCAUUCAAUUUUUUGGUUCUUUACUCUAUAUUCAAUUAAUUAUAUAAUAUUUACGACGACUCUAAACGGAUUGUGAAGUUUAGUUCUUCGUGGUAUUCGAUUGGCGUAUGAUACGAUGAUAAAUAAUAUUUCGUAUAACCUGUGUGCCGAGUGAGGGGGUAUAAUAAUCAUUGUCAUAUGCCGGAAAAUUGUGGUUUCGAUAACGACGCUCUUGGGGUUUUUUUGUAAAGCUUUAUCAUAAUAUCGUGCGUCAUGAUUAUGUUUAAAUUAUCCAUCGUUGCGAUCGAGUCACGGCCCUCCCACCCCCGCCCAUCCCUUAUUUUUCUUCACUUUACAUAAAUUUACCAUAUUCGCAUAUUAUUAAAUACCCUCGGAUCACGCGCGUUCUUGCCGCCAGGCUAGACCAGGCUAGGCCACGGCUAGACGCGAAGAGGAAAAAGUACACGGGAGGAAAGGAGAGGAGAGGAAAAACUAUGGGAAGAAGAGAGGCGAGGAGACAAGAGACGAGGAACUCGCGUUGAGGUAUUUCCGACUCGUGGUCGCGUGAAAGUGGGAGACCUCUCGGUGACACUAUUAUACAUAUAAUACCACCGUUCAUACGACGCCAACAUUCCCGUGGGCUGUAGUAUUAUAACUGUUAUACAGAUCCGCGGAGUUUGUCGCAUUACAUAUAAUAUAAUACCUGUAUAUAUAUAUACAUACAUAUAUAUUUAUGUAUACCAUAUGCAUCACACGUGUACGUGUACGUAUACCUAGGACAGAUUGCGUAUACACUUGCGUACCAACACGUUUCUCCAUGAAAUCGUUUCGUGGUCGUCGAAAAAGCUCACCGAUGUUCAACUACUCUCGUCCCAUAGUAGCUAUUAUAAAUAGUUGACUGGGGACACUGAGAUAAGAUAUAGAUAGAGAUAGAGAGUUACAAGCAGGGGAAAAUAUUUUUGCAAAAUAAAGAGAUGGCUUCGAUGUUUCACGAGUAAUAUAGGUAUAAUAAGUAUAUCGAUGUGAUUACGUCCAUAUAUUUAUACAUCCUAAUAUUAAAUACAUCAAAGCUAUACGAGCAAAUAAACGACCUCGCGAAUGCAGCUAAAUUUCGUCUCUCAAGUUGUGCUUAUACAUGUAUAUAUAUAAACGUAUACCCCUACCCACUACAUAAAAAUUGAAGAAAGAGAAAAAAAUAACAAACAAAAAGAAAUUGUACGUAUACUUACGCGAGAUUCGAUUUUCAUUUUAUGCGUACUAAAGAGCCGUAAAAUUUAUCGAUUUUCCACGAAGAGUCCUCUUCAAUAUUCAAAUAAACACGCGUCAUGGUCUCCUUCGACGAGGGAUCGUCGCGCGAAAUCGUAUAACGAAUCUUCGUUACGUCCAAUGGCAUGCUUGAAAAAAUUAUAAUGAUGAUGAUAAUAAUAACAUCCAUAACAACAACAAUCAAUAUAAUAAUAACAACCCUCUGGCCGCAAAAAUAAUAUUAUAUUGAUAAAUGAGCUUGCGGAGGGUGAGUAUCUCGUGGAACAGAGAAAUUGUCAAACCAAGGAAAAAGCUCACAUGCGAUUUUUACAAUACCUUAAUAGAUAACAUUUUCUCGAUUCUCCUACCCUUAGAGGAAAGCACACAUAUUUAGUUUUUCCAUGAAUUCACCAUAUAAUGGGGUUGUAUCCGCCCUUAUUCUCUAUGUCCCCGUAUACUACAUGGUAUGCAGUUUGUAUGAUAAAACCGUUUUAUUUAAAUAAUUAUUAUUGCAGUAUUAUUUUUCCCUUGAUUCUUGUUUUUAAUAAUAAUAAUAAUAAUAGGUAAUAAUAAUAAUAAUAAUAAUAAUAAUAGUUGUAAUAAUAUUAAUAAUAGUAGUAAUAAUAAUAACAAUUACAAUAAUAACAUUAAUGCUAAUAAUUAUAACAGUGGUAGCGUCCUCUUCAUACGUAUAACAUACAAGUCAUCUAAUAAAUAUGUAAUAAAUACAUAUGUACUAUUUUCAAAUAUAUACGUAUCCAAACGAUAAUAACGAUGCACCCCUCGAAGACAUAUUGUUAUACGUAUAAAGCUGAAUAUGAACGUGUACAUGGAUAUAGUACGUGAUAUCGUAUGGUACAAACACUGAUAGUAACAUGUGCAGCGCAGAAGAAGAAUAUGUUGGGAGACUGGAUGCCGGUAUACAUACAUCCUGCAGAUGUUUAGUUGGUCGAUGGACGCAAUGAAGUUUUUCAGGUAUAUAAAUAAAAUACAGUAAAGAUCCAGAGCCUGUGGCGAAAGAAAAGGAAGAAAAAAAAACGUAACAUAUAUUUUAGCUUGAUCUCACAAAUUGAAUUUCGAUUGUAGGCAAAUGGUAAUGAGCUCGAAUGAUGUUGGUUUUUCGUGUAGUGGUAGGUAUGGUAAAUAUAUGUAUUAGUUUGUGCGGAUAACGACGUAUAGAGUAAUUAAUAUUAUUAUUUAUAAUUAUAUAGCGAGAGAAUAAAGAUGGCGAGAGGGCAUACAAUAUAAUAUUUUUGUUGUCGUGUGUAAUUUCUUUUCUUUUUUUUAUCUUUUCAUUUUCUCA